GAUGAACGCUGGCGGCGUGCUUAACACAUGCAAGUCGAACGGAAAGGCCCAAGCUUGCUUGGGUCCUCGAGUGGCGAACGGGGGAGUAACACGUGGGUGAUCUGCCCUGCACUUCGGGAUAAGCCUGGGAAACUGGGUCUCAUACCGGAUAGGACGAUGGUUUGGAUGCCAUUGUGGAAAGAAUUUUCGGUGUGGGAUGAGCACGCGGCCUAUCAGCUUGUUGGUGGGGUAAUGGCCUACCAAGGCGUCGACGGGUAGCCGGCCUGAGGGGGUGUACGGCCACAUUGGGACUGAGAGACGGCCCAGACUCCUACGGGAGGCAGCAGUGGGGAAUAUUGCACAAUGGGCGCAAGCCUGAUGCAGCGACGCCGCGUGGGGGAUGACGGCCUUCGGGUUGUAAACUCCUUUCGCUAGGGACGAAGCGUUUUUGUGACGGUACCUGGAGAAGAAGCACCGGCUAACUACGUG
This 468-nucleotide ribosomal RNA is filed under the name uncultured bacterium. Its description in RNAcentral is "partial 16S ribosomal RNA". It matches the Rfam family "Bacterial small subunit ribosomal RNA", at positions 28 to 507 of the family's 1533-position model. The record is from RNAcentral.